UAAAAUGAGAGUUUGAUCCUGGCUCAGGACGAACGCUGGCGGCGUGCCUAAUACAUGCAAGUAGAACGCUGAGGACUGGUGCUUGCACUGGUCUAAGGAGUUGCGAACGGGUGAGUAACGCGUAGGUAACCUACCUCAUAGCGGGGGAUAACUAUUGGAAACGAUAGCUAAUACCGCAUGACAACAGGGUACACAUGUACCCUAUUUAAAAGGGGCAAAUGCUUCACUAUGAGAUGGACCUGCGUUGUAUUAGCUAGUUGGUAAGGUAACGGCUUACCAAGGCGACGAUACAUAGCCGACCUGAGAGGGUGAUCGGCCACACUGGGACUGAGACACGGCCCAGACUCCUACGGGAGGCAGCAGUAGGGAAUCUUCGGCAAUGGGGGGAACCCUGACCGA
Molecule: ribosomal RNA, 399 nt
Filed under: Streptococcus uberis S6261
Lineage: Bacteria; Bacillati; Bacillota; Bacilli; Lactobacillales; Streptococcaceae
Description: bacterial SSU rRNA
Rfam family: Bacterial small subunit ribosomal RNA
Source: RNAcentral